UUGGACUGGUGUAGGAAUUUCCUAG
This 25-nucleotide non-coding RNA is filed under the name Mus musculus (house mouse). The record is from RNAcentral. Lineage: Eukaryota; Metazoa; Chordata; Mammalia; Rodentia; Muridae.